Long non-coding RNA from Triticum aestivum (bread wheat), 3918 nucleotides. RefSeq lists it as uncharacterized. The transcript is spliced from 5 exons. Lineage: Eukaryota; Viridiplantae; Streptophyta; Magnoliopsida; Poales; Poaceae. The record is from RefSeq and is a predicted model, not a curated record.
AAAAAACAAUGACAAAAGAUCAGGCGACUCGCACGCACGAGCGAGGCCUCCAGAUCCCUUCGCCACCGCCCGACGCCGCCAGCCCCGUCCUCCUCCCUGGCUCCCGGCGCCGCCCGCCCCCCAUCUCCUCCUGCGAUCCUGGCGUCGCCCCGCCCCACCUUCUCCCUCACUCCCGGCGCCACCCCGCCCCCACCUUCUCCCUCACCACUGGCGCCGCCCAACCCCCAACCUUCCUGGAUCCCGGCGCUGCCCCGCCCCCACCUCCUCCCUCGCUCCCGGCCGCCCAUGCCUCCUAUGCACGCCCCUCCCUCAGCCCACCGGCGACCUCCCAUCCUCCACCGUCUACCCCACCGUCGGAUCUCCUCCUCCCCUCUCCUUCUCUCCCUCGCGGAUGCGUCAAACCCACGAAAUUUCCCUCCUCACGGCCGGAACCCUAGCUCGCGCCUGUGGGGACUGGGCUGGAGGUGCGGCACGGGAUUCGCACCGCAGGAUUCACCAGCGACGAGUCCAACAGGUCGUCGAAUCGGGGAACGGGAUGGCGCACCCUGCUGCAGCCGCCGGUCGGGACGAGCGCGGCGGCGACGAACGUCGGUGCGCCUCCGUUUCCUCGACAUCCAAGGACGCGGGCGCCGGAUUUGUUCUCGCCUGACCAGCCUCGGUAUCCAGCUCCCUACAGCCACCGCCGGCGUCGACUCCCAAGGCGAGGAUGACAACGACGCCAAAGAUGACGAGGCCCCGAGCUCGAGCACGACCACUACGACGCACUGCACAAAGGCCCCUGCUUCCUGCCUGCCCUUCCCUUUGCUUGGAAGAUAGCUCUCUUCAGAUGUUGUUCCUGUCCUUCUCCUUGGUUGUUGAGCGCUGCACUCACUCAUGUAUGCAGGUUGAGUCCAAGCACAAGUAAGCACCAUUAUUAGGCGAGAAGACGACGGUGACGCAGAGGAGGAUGAGGACCCGCGCUCCAGCCCGACCACGACUAUGCACCGCACGGUCCCUGCUUCCUGGCUGUCGCCAAUUGCCCCCUUCCCUUUACAGUACUACUCUAUUUGUUUUCAUUGCUUUUCACCCAGUUUUGCACACUUUCUGGCCCUUCACUUUUUUGUGUGCAAAUGUUCUGAUCGCCUCCAUAUGGCUGUUUCCGUCCUCCUGCUCAUGCUGUCUCCAUCCUCCUGCUCAAGCCGUCGCCAUCGCCUCCCAUCCUUCAUGGCCUGCGUGUGUGCGCCCACUGUUGGAGGACGACGUUGAACAUGAAGCGGAGCCCAGCCGGAGCAGUCUGACGCGGUGGUCGUCGCCAAGGAGCGGUGGUCGAUGCCAUGUAGCAGGGGCCCUCGGUCGCCUGCACACCGGCUGCGUUCUGAACUAAUGCUUUCUGCAACUGCAAUGUUCCCCUCCACAUUGUAUCUUGUGUAGGCAGAAGGAAUGCAGCUCAGUGACGGCGUCGGCUACAACUGGAUCGAUGGCCUGAAGGCUUUUACUAAGAAGAUGAAGAAUGUUAUAGAACAGUGUCCAUCAACAAAGAGUCCUACUACUACCGGUUGGAGAGGCUCUAUCCUCAGGUGAUUGAUUACUUAAGAAGUAUACUGAAUUAUGAUAUCCAUCGAUCUAAUUUUGUAUAGGAAUUUUGAAAAACUAAAGAAUCUGUGGUACAUGAUUUGAUUUACUCAUUUAGAUUUUAGUAAAUUGUGAACGGAAGUUUUUUUCACAAAACCAGUGCACCACCCUUUCUACACACAUCAUUCAUGGAUUGGCAGACUAAAGGUUCUAUUCAACAUCUUUGGUGGAUUGCAUAAAUGGGCUAGAGUAAAAAUAGACCAGAAUUGUUAUAUGUGCUUAGGGAAGUGGGAUUAGAUCAAGAUUUUUUUGACAAAAUGAGAAAUCAAUGGCUCAAGGAGAGUAAGCCCAAAGAGAUAAGUAUUGUUUUCCUUUAGUAGCUUGCCGCAUAAUUCAUUCAAACAUAUUUAGAGUGGAGCAGGAAUAUUCAAACAAGGAAAUGUACACAAUAUCUGUUAGUAUACAUGUGACACUUUCCCGUCUUUCGACUAAUGAUUGCCUCCUGCCAGGUAUCACUAAUAGCACAUUCAUCACAUCAUUUGUGUAGCUCAUUCUGGUGUAAGUCGGGCCAAUUUAGAAAAGAUUUUAAAGCAUAUUCAUACAGGUUAUAGAAGUCAGAGUCAAAUAGUAUAAUAAGUGAUUUGUUUGUGCAGAAUUUCUAAUUGAUCGUCUUCUAAGGAUAAAUGGAACUGCUACCUUUCCUCUCUCCAAUAAACUAUUAGACCCUGCUUGUAACUAUUUUUCAUCUUGGUGUGAUUUAUAAGGGAGGCCAUGCCAUUAGUUUUUUGUUAUUACAUGCUGUGAUGACCCCGAUUCAUUGAUGUAUAGUUUCGUAUGUGGUCAAUUACCUAAUACGGUAGUUACACUUCUCCUGGUUUGCCUUGGUCUGAAAUCUGACUUUUGGACUGAUUGUAGUCAAUCUGAAUUAGUGAGGUUCUUUUUUCCAACUGUCCAUGUUCAGUUCUCUACAUUAUCAUGCAUUUUCUUUGGUUUAAAGAUGUCAUGAUGUUCACCAAGGCAGAGAAGAAAUGUUUUAAAGUUGUCCCUUCAAUUGAAACAAGUAUGACUUGGUCCUUAGUGCCUAUGCAGACAUGAAAACGGAAGGUCGAGAGGUUUAAAUAUGUCAUGAUGUUUACAAUUGCGGAUAUCCUGCUUCAGACUUAAUAACAGACACUAUGACAAUGGCUCAAGAGAUAUCAGAUCUACCUUCUUGGAUGGGGGCGUUAUGGGUGGCGCACGCCUCGGCCCCCUUGAUGGCCGUGGUGGAUGGACAUGAACACGAGGGGGGAUCAGGGCGGAGAGCAGGGUGGUUGGCGGGGGACUCAUCCUUGGCAGUUCAUGGGAAAGUAUGGUGUGAAGCAGAGGGGGCGCCAUGGCGAAGGUGAGGUAGCCGUCAUCCGGUCAUCUGUACUCCUAAUGUCUCAGUUGGUAGUCUCCGCUCACCGGUUAAAUUUCGUCCCACCAACACCGGUUUUUUUCGUCCUCCCUCCCACCUCCCACUCCCAGCUAUUCCCACCGGCUUUAUUUUAUGUGAUCUGAAUCUGAGCGAGUCUUAAAUUUUGGUGCAGUGUGAAAGGAGGAAAAUGAUCGCCGGAAAGCAGGUAGAUCUACACCUUGAGAGAUGGCAUUUUGCGGUACAUUGUUUAGGUAAGGAUAUUGUGCUUUCUUCUGAAAACUCUGGACUGUACAUUGAGUUGUGUUCCAUUUUUUAAAAAUUACUUAGAAUCCUGCUUCUGGCAAUACUACUAUGAACUGGCAUACCUCGUGAUCAUGAGAGGAUGACAAGUUCCUGAUCCCCAAGAACGCCCUCAUGUGCGGCUGCCGGUCGUCGGACAAGACAUCUCUGACUGACUUAGCCACACAGCGAACCUAAGUUCGUCAUGGGAGGAUGUCACCUUGGACUGGAGCAACAGACGUCGAAAAUUUACUAGGAAAGAAGGCUCACAAAUAAGAGUGACCCAAACACAAAUUGUCGUACGUUUGCAAUUAAACUCUUAGUAGCAGCUUGAUUCUUACUAUUGUUACUUUGGUGGUGGGUAUAAUUAGUCAUGUAGUAGCAUCUUACCUUCACCUUUGGCGUGAACUUCUCAUACUAUAUAUAUUUGAUUGUGCAGAAUGGGUAUGAGUUGAGGAAGCAGUUUUUACUGUACUUGCUAAAACAUCGUGGGAAUGAAGCUAAAGAAAACUUUCCAGAUAUUGUGAAAGAAUUUCUUAAGCGCAUCAUCUAGAUAUUGAUAGUUUUGUAACAGAUGUUUAGUUCGAACAUCGCUCAGUUUGUUACAUGGACAUGUCGUUAAUCUUUAUUUUUGUUAUCAAUUUACAUUACAAAAUUGAACUUCAAUUAUUCAAUAAUUGUGUUUGUGUUAU